UACGGGGGGGGCAAGCGUUGUUCGGAAUUACUGGGCGUAAAGGGCGCGUAGGCGGCCUUCUAAGUCAGACGUGAAAUCCCCCGGCUUAACCUGGGAACUGCGUCUGAUACUGGAGGGCUUGAGUGCGGGAGAGGGAUGUGGAAUUCCAGGUGUAGCGGUGAAAUGCGUAGAUAUCAGGAGGUACACCAAUGGCGACGGCAGCUCGCUGGGACGUGACUGACGCUGAGACGCGAAAGCGUGGGGAGCAAACAGG
This 253-nucleotide ribosomal RNA is filed under the name uncultured bacterium. RNAcentral's name for it is "partial 16S ribosomal RNA". It matches the Rfam family "Bacterial small subunit ribosomal RNA", at positions 524 to 776 of the family's 1533-position model. The record is from RNAcentral.